CGGGGCCGCCCCCGGGUGCCGCGUGCCGCCGCUGCCGGGGCUCGCGUGGCUCCCCCGGUCCCCCCGCACCUGGAGCGAGUCCCGGCUGUGCAAAGCCCCCGCUCUGUCACCCCUGGAGCCACCGCAGCCCUCAGGGGAGAGAGCAUCGCCUGCUGGCUUCCCCUUUCCCCGUCUGCACAGCUCCGGGGCUCCCGCGGAUCCGGCGGGGCUGGGAGGAGCCCUCGGGCACGCUUCCACUCAGGCCGCUUCUGCAGCGCCUUCCAGAUCACAGGAUCUACUGAGCUUGAGAGGGAUCCUAAAAUAUAACUCUCGAGCAAAAGGCCCGUGUGAGAAUUGAACUCACAGCCCAGCCAUUCCUGGGAUUCUGCUCCAGUCAACUGAGCUAAUCUGGGCUCGAACCUCCUUAGGGGAGGGAGUCAUCCCUAAGUCCCGGCUCUCUGGGGCUGCCUUUCCUGCUGGAAUAUGCAUUUUAAAUUUACCCCACCAAGCUUCUCCUGUGUCGAGAAGCCCAAGCCUUCCCACCGUGGACACCAGCUACAUCAACUCCUCGCUGUUCCAGGACUACAGGCAUCCAUUCCACAUGACACCCGUGCCUUACGACCUGCAGGGUGAGUUCUGAACAGCCCCCCAAGCACAAAAAAUAAUUAAAAAAUCAAGAUAAUGAGCUUACAAUCUUCGCUGCUGAACAGAAUUUGAAGUUUCAGCAGCAUUAGGUUGGUUUCGUUUCAAAAGAAGCGAAAAAAACCACUGAGAAACAGAAAUUGUCUUCUGUUUGGAGAAGCUGAAUUUUGGGGGGUUUUUGUGUCUCUCGACAGGUUUAGAUUUCCCCUCUUUCCUGUCAGGUGACAAUCAGGUAAUGACAUGAAUGGGCAGGACCUUUUUGAGCCUUUAUGAAGGUAUCAGCUCCGGGGUGGGGGCUCGGGGGCUGCGCACACCACCACUGCUCCCACGAGGUCACCAGGAAGGAGGUGUUCCAGCCCUCAGCAGGCCUGGGGCUUCCGUCCUCACGGGAAUCCGUGGAAGAUCUCUCGUGGCUGGUUUGUGUAGGGCUGUCAUCCCAGUCAAGCUCUUCCCUGGGGAUGGCACAGACUCCAAGUCGAGGCUGGGAACAUCCUGGUGUCUCUGCCAGUUGGGUUAUGAGGCUCUUUUGUCUGUCUUUCAUCAGGUCCGCUUGAUCCAGGGGCUCUCUCAGCACUCCUAACCCUUUUCCCCUCAUUUGCACACUGAGGCUGGGGGUACCCCAUGCUGGGGAGCAGCGGCAGAGACCCAACCAGCAGGGAUUGGAACACUCGGGGAAGAGAUGAACUCAACACAAUUAACAUCGGACUAGAAACAGCAGCAACAUUAUUAACUUUGUGGUAGAUGUUGUAACCAACAUUUCAGUGCAACACCAACAUUACAUCGUAACACAUACCUUGCUUGAAAAUGGUUUUUCUUCAUAGCAGGUAAAUUGGAGAGAAUGAAAUCCUGUUAGAAACGCUUUUCCGAGCGGGAUUUGCCACAUAGGAAGCAGCACAGCGGCGUUGUCUGAACACGAGAGUGGAAUCAGGCACAGGAAAAGGAAACUUUUUGGGGAGUCAGGGGUUAAACUCACUGGCUGAAGGUGCAGUUUGGUCCCUUUUCCUCCAAAAAGAAAAUGGACAUCUCCAUGGCCUUUCUGCUCUUCCAAGGAGGGAAUUUGCACAAAAAAUGCACAAAAAUUACAUGGAAAGUCAAGGGAUGCAGAGCUUCUUUUUGGGAGGGGGUCUAGACCUAGACGGGCUUCCAAUAAAACAAG
This is a long non-coding RNA of Parus major (Great Tit), 1777 nucleotides long. RefSeq lists it as uncharacterized. Lineage: Eukaryota; Metazoa; Chordata; Aves; Passeriformes; Paridae. The record is from RefSeq and is a predicted model, not a curated record. The transcript is spliced from 3 exons.